Molecule: ribosomal RNA, 292 nt
Filed under: uncultured bacterium
Lineage: Bacteria
Description: partial 16S ribosomal RNA
Rfam family: Bacterial small subunit ribosomal RNA
Source: RNAcentral
GUGUCAGCAGCCGCGGUAAUACGAAGGGGGCUAGCGUUGCUCGGAAUCACUGGGCGUAAAGCGCACGUAGGCGGCUUUCUAAGUCAGGGGUGAAAUCCUGGAGCUCAACUCCAGAACUGCCUUUGAUACUGGGAAGCUCGAGUCCGGAAGAGGUGAGUGGAACUGCGAGUGUAGAGGUGAAAUUCGUAGAUAUUCGCAAGAACACCAGUGGCGAAGGCGGCUCACUGGUCCGGUACUGACGCUGAGGUGCGAAAGCGUGGGGAGCAAACAGGAUUAGAAACCCUUGUAGUCC